AACGUACUGCUGGCGGCACGCCUAACACAUGCAAGUCGAACGAAGUAGCAAUACUUAGUGGCAGACGGGUGAGUAACAUGUGGGUAUCUGCCCUUUGGCCUGGAAUAACACGAGGAAACUUGUGCUAAUACCGGAUAAGUCUUUACGGAGAAAGCUUUAUGCACCAUUGGAUGAGCCCGCACUUGAUUAGUUUGUUGGUGGGGUAAUGGCCUACCAAGACUGUGAUCAAUAGCUGAUUUGAGAGGAUGAUCAGCCACAUUGGGACUGAGACACGGCCCAAACUCCUACGGGAGGCAGCAGUGGGGAAUCUUGCACAAUGGAGGAAACUCUGAUGCAGCGAUGCCGCGUGAGUGAAGAAGGCCCUUGGGUUGUAAAGCUCUUUCGUCGGGGAAGAAAAUGACUGUACCCGAAUAAGAAGGUCCGGCUAACUUCGUGCCAGCAGCCGCGGUAAUACGAAGGGACCUAGCGUAGUUCGGAAUUACUGGGCUUAAAGAGUUCGUAGGUGGUUGAAAAAGUUAGUGGUGAAAUCCCAGAGCUUAACUCUGGAACUGCCAUUAAAACUUUUCAGCUAGAGUAUGAUAGAGGAAAGCAGAAUUUCUAGUGUAGAGGUGAAAUUCGUAGAUAUUAGAAAGAAUACCAAUUGCGAAGGCAGCUUUCUGGAUCAUUACUGACACUGAGGAACGAAAGCAUGGGUAGCGAAGAGGAUUAGAUACCCUCGUAGUCCAUGCCGUAAACGAUGUGUGUUAGACGUUGGAAAUUUAUUUUCAGUGUCGCAGCGAAAGCGAUAAACACACCGCCUGGGGAGUACGACCGCAAGGUUAAAACUCAAAUGAAUUGACGGGGACCCGCACAAGUAGUGGAGCAUGUGGUUUAAUUCGAAGAUACGCGCAGAACCUUACCAACACUUGACAUGUUCGUCGCGACUCUAAGAGAUUAGAGUUUUCGGUUCGGCCGGACGAAACACAGGUGCUGCAUGGCUGUCGUCAGCUCGUGUCGUGAGAUGUUGGGUUAAGUCCCGCAACGAGCGCAACCCUCACUUUUAGUUGCCAUCAUUAAGUUGGGCACUCUGAAAGAACUGCCAGUGAUAAGCUGGAGGAAGGUGGGGAUGACGUCAAGUCCUCAUGGCCCUUACGUGUUGGGCUACACACGUGCUACAAUGGUAUCUACAACAGGAAGCAAGACUGCGAGGUCAAGCAAAUCCUUAAAAGAUACCUCAGUUCGGAUUGCACUCUGCAACUCGAGUGCAUGAAGCUGGAAUUACUAGUAAUCGUGGAUCAGCGUGCCACGGUGAAUGCGUUCCCGGGUCU
This 1307-nucleotide ribosomal RNA is filed under the name uncultured bacterium. RNAcentral's name for it is "bacterial SSU rRNA". It matches the Rfam family "Bacterial small subunit ribosomal RNA", at positions 28 to 1381 of the family's 1533-position model. The record is from RNAcentral.